CCUACUCUGUCUUUGACACUGUGACAAGCACUAAGAUACUGUAACUGUCAACAUGGAGAUUUCAGUCUAGUGCAAGACAUUGGUAACAAGCAAGGUCUACUAAAACUGUGCUUGUCUUGGCCUUUUCAUCGCGACAUUUAACGGAGAAGAAUUUCAAUUGUUUGCAGUCAAUCCCACAGUGCUUUUCCAAUUUCCCUUUGUUUUCUUUGGGAUUUUCAAGAAACCUCACGUGCCCUACAUAAUUCAGUUAUGAUUCCAGAGGAACUUGGUGCCUCAAAGUGACAGAUGAUUUUUAAAAAUAUUUCAACACCUGUGUAUUAGAAGCAGCAUCACAUUAAGAAUCAAGAGUCCAGAGCUAGACGCCAGGCCCUGCCAUUAAUUAGUUGUGUGACCUUCAGACACAGUGAGAAGAUGGCCAUGUGCAAGCUGGGAAGAGGGGCCUUGUCAAAAUAUGCCCAUGCUGCUACCCUGAUCUCACAUUUCCAUCUC
Long non-coding RNA from Lontra canadensis (Northern American river otter), 489 nucleotides. RefSeq lists it as uncharacterized. The transcript is spliced from 3 exons. The record is from RefSeq and is a predicted model, not a curated record. Lineage: Eukaryota; Metazoa; Chordata; Mammalia; Carnivora; Mustelidae.